This 299-nucleotide unclassified non-coding RNA is filed under the name plant metagenome. RNAcentral describes it as "partial contains 5.8S ribosomal RNA, internal transcribed spacer 2, and large subunit ribosomal RNA". The stretch from base 1 to 105 matches the Rfam family "5.8S ribosomal RNA", at positions 50 to 154 of the family's 154-position model. The record is from RNAcentral.
GAAAUGCGAUAAGUAAUGUGAAUUGCAGAAUUCAGUGAAUCAUCGAAUCUUUGAACGCACAUUGCGCCCCCUGGUAUUCCGGGGGGCAUGCCUGUUCGAGCGUCAUUUCACCACUCAAGCCUCGCUUGGUAUUGGGCGACGCGGUCCGCCGCGCGCCUCAAAUCGACCGGCUGGGUCUUUCGUCCCCUCAGCGUUGUGGAAACUAUUCGCUAAAGGGUGCCGCGGGAGGUCACGCCGUAAAACAACCCCAUUUCUAAGGUUGACCUCGGAUCAGGUAGGGAUACCCGCUGAACUUAAGC